UACAGAGGGGCAAGCGUUGUUCGGAAUUACUGGGCGUAAAGGGCGCGUAGGCGGCCUCCUAAGUCGAACGUGAAAUCCCUGGGCUCAACCCAGGAACUGCGUCCGAUACUGGAAGGCUUGAAUCCGGAGAGGGAUGCGGAAUCCAGGUGUAGCGGUGAAAUGACGUAGAUAUCUGGAGGAACACCGGUGGCGAAGGCGGCA
Molecule: ribosomal RNA, 201 nt
Filed under: uncultured bacterium
Lineage: Bacteria
Description: partial 16S ribosomal RNA
Rfam family: Bacterial small subunit ribosomal RNA
Source: RNAcentral